AAGAGCCGUGAGUUGUUAGCUAAACUUCGCUCACAACAAAACCCGCUCACACGACCCUCGUCAGCCCAGGAAAGCUACUGUGUCGACAUCUGUCAGCAGGAAACCUGGCUCACUUCCCCAGUCUGAGAGAGGUAAACCUGGUACAACAGAAACUGUCUGAAUAUGCAACACUUGUCAGCAACCUAGACCUGGAGUUUGAAAUGCGCUUUCAGGACUUCAGGAAGAAUUCAGGUGACAUGGAGCUGUUUUCCCAACCCUUCAGCACAAGUGUGGACUGUGUCCCUGAUCACAUUCAGAUGGAGUUGAUUGAGUUUCAGUGCGAUUCAGAGCUGAGGAAUAAAUUCAUGUCACUGAAACCGAAGGACUCCUACACACGUCUCACCAGAACGGUACCCAAACAUUAGGAAGCAUGCACAGGUGAUGUUAUCUCUGUUUGGCAGCACCUACAUUUGUGAACAGACUUUCAGUGUAAUGAACCUUAACAAAACCAGGCUCAGAAGCACUCUGACUGAUCUACACCUGCAGGACGUUCUCACCCUCUCAGUUUACACAGCUUCAGCCUGACAUUGAGAGGCUGGUCAAAGCCAAAGACCAGCUUCAUGUGUCUCACUAAUAGUGUCAAACUGCUGCUGUUUGCUGUUAAUAUGGACAUGCAUAUGGACAUAAUUCGUGGCUAAAUAAAGAUUCAUUUGCUUUG
Molecule: long non-coding RNA, 697 nt
Organism: Monopterus albus (swamp eel)
Lineage: Eukaryota; Metazoa; Chordata; Actinopteri; Synbranchiformes; Synbranchidae
Exons: 2
Source: RefSeq, a predicted model, not a curated record